Molecule: long non-coding RNA, 10693 nt
Organism: Pipra filicauda (Wire-tailed manakin)
Lineage: Eukaryota; Metazoa; Chordata; Aves; Passeriformes; Pipridae
Exons: 3
Source: RefSeq, a predicted model, not a curated record
GAAAAUAAUACCACCUUAAGCCAGCCAUUUAUCUGACAGGCAUAUUAUACUGGGUCAGCAAAAGGACUAGACCUACGCUUAGCCACAAGACUUCAUCCCCUACUUUGUGACUCAGAACGUCCUCAGCCUGUAUUCAGAGCAGCCUGGUUUCCAUGGCCUGCCAACUGCUUACUGAAACAGGCCCUCCACGCACUGGGCCUGCAACCAUGUUUCAAGGACAUUUAGAUGACUGAAAAUGCAGAUGAGUGCUGUCUGGGACACAACCAGUUAAAGGCUCUGAGAGAUCCUUGGCUUUAGGACGCAAUUUGUUUUGCAACAUAGAAACAGCGUGGCCAGCAGGAGCAAGGCAGUGACCGUCUGUACUCCCACUGUACUUGGCACUGGUGAGGCCGCACCUCACAUUCUGUGUUCACUUCUGGGCCCCUACAAAAGGGACAUUGAGGUGCUGGAGCUUGUCCAGAGAGGGGCAAGGGUGAAGGGUCUGGACCCCAGGUCUGAUGAGGAGCAGCUCAAGGAGCUGAGGGUGCUUAACCUUGAGAAAAGGAGAUUCAGGGGGAUCUUAUUGCUUUCUACAACUACUUUAAAACAGGAUGUAGCGAGGUAGGGCCAGUCUCCUCUUCCAGGUAACAACAGGAAAUAGCCUCAAGUUGUGCCAGGAGAGUUUUAGAUUGGAUACUACGAAAAAUUUAGUAAUGGAAAGGGUUGUUAAGCUUUGGAACAAGUUGCUCAGGAAAGUGGUGGAGUGACCAUUCCAGGAGGUAUUUAAGAGACAUGUAGAUGUGGCACUUGGGAGCAUGGUUUAGUGGUGGAUGGCAGUGCUGGGUUAAUGGGUUAAUGAUCCUAAGGGCUUUUACAACCUAAAUGAUUCUAUCAUUUUAUGAUUCUAAAGCUCUUCUAGGUGUAUGUCUGAAUCCUCUCUGGCUUAUCUGCUUUUUUUUCCCUGCUCCUGGUCUAAGUUGGAAAGAAAGAAAAAACAGUACUCACUGGCUGAAAGUGUUCGCAUUGACUUCCCGUUGUUGAAGGAAUGGGUGAAAUGCACAAUUAAUGCAGACAGCUGUUCCCUGACCUUUGCAGACAUUCAUCUGUUAUUACAGCCUUUCUCACUGUCAGCCUUGAAGGGUUGAGGAUGCUCCUGACUACUCCCCACAACUCCUGAUGGAUCCUUGCAGGGUCUCAGUGAGGGAGGCUCAUAAUCCACAAUUUGGGAAAAAUACUUUAAUAAAUACAUAUAAAUGACACAUAUGCAGUGACUUUACUAUAGAAAUGGAGACCAAAGUAGCACAGCAGUCCCCCCACACUUCAACAUAAUCCAGAAAAUGCCAGAUAUAUCAGAUUUUUUGCAUUUUGGACUUAGUAGUAAAUUCAAAUAUCAAGGCCAAAUUCUUCUUUCACACCUCAAUAAUUCAGAAAUAACAUGAGACAGAAACUUACCACUGAACCUCAGAUGAAACUUAUAUCUGAAUUGCUACAACUUUCAAUUUAAAAGAAAAUAUUUUAAUUAUGAUACAAUGCAGUGGGAAUUAAAGAAGCUUACAUUACUGUUUACUUUACAUGGUGCCCAGUUCUUUUCUUUUUUCUUUUUUAAUUCCAAGGCAAAUCUCCCAUUGACUUCAUUAUGAGCACAGUGUGAUAUGCCUCAGCUAACAUGGGAAAGUGCAACAGAUCCAUGUGGUAGAUAUUAAGAUACAGCACUUAAACAAGGAUAAAAACUAAUUCAAUGAUCACACAGAGGUAAAGCAGGACCGCUUCCAGAUAAGUCAGAGAUACUUGUCUGGUAAAAAGUCAGUGCAACUCUGUGUAUUCCUUUAAAAAGAGAACUGAUUGCCAUUAUUCUACACUCACUAAUCUGCGGCUUAUCAUAACUUUAGGCCACUGAUCAGACUAAUCUGAUGCAAAACACAGACCUCCAUGUCCAAUGGCAGGACACAAACCAGCUGGGGUCCAAAAGCCAUUUGGACAUCCUAGUUUGCAUCAGCACCUACAGCAACAAACCCUGACUCUUGGUGGCCUUGCUGCCACAGGCCAAGUCCUGGAAUAGAAGGGCACAUGAUUUCAGUGCUCUGAAACUAUUCCGUGAUGGUUAGUCUGGAACUUUCAAGAUUCUUGUAGUAUGCUUACCAGAACCAAGCUCAUAUAAGUCUUCCUAACUAUGCAAAGGACCUGAUGUAUGUGUUCAUUACAAUUUUGAAGCCAUUCAGCAAGAAAAGUCUUACAAAUGUGAGAAACAUUUGGUCAACAUGAAUGUCUGUAAACCAAAAUCUACAAGAGUCAGAGUCUCCAGCAGAUGGGAUACAGCAGUGACAAAAUGAUUUAAAAGUCAAAGAUCUAUUUUCAAAGAGACAGGUGCUUAAAUAUCAUUAGAAGUCAAAUGGAAAUAAACUUGUGAGUCCAAUUUAAAAAUGGUUUUUCAGUCUGUGUGAAAGCAUUGCACACUCAUCCUUGAGAACAUAUUUUAUUGUCAAUUUAGUGAAUCCAACCUCUGAAUUUUGGUCUGGACAUGUUCUCAUAUAAACAGAGGAGAGCAAACUCUGCCUCCUGUGGGAAUUGGUGCUGAAAUCUUAUGUUUUGGACUAUGCAGGUAUUCAAAGCAGAUAACACAGUGUUACAUUCUGGCCUGAAGGUAUUGAACAGGUCUUUCACUCAUAUGAAUAGGGAGAGUUUCUCUGCAAUAUGGAGUAGGAGAGGCCUGGCACUAUUGCAAUACAAGACCCAUAUAUCUCUCGUCAGUUCAGGGUUUGUGGGAGGAGAAGGAGGUUUUGAGCUCUCCUCACUCCUCCUGAAGACUGAUGACACUCCUCCUGAAGAUCAAAGCACAAAAACUUUCACCAGCUAUACUACAGAGCUCUACCUUCCUAUGGUCUGUGUCUUCCCCUGAAGCAGCAUGGACUGCAAAUGGGGCUGCUUGGAAGAGACACAUCCUGUGUAAGAAGGGACAUGUGGCAAUCUUCUGCCACCACCCCACUAGGUGGAAUUAAAUCCCCAUUGACUACAGGUUUGUUCACUGCUCUGCCAGUUCCCACCCAUGGCCAUGAAAAGACACGCAUCUCUCAGCCACUGCUGUCUGUGCUGCAUGGGGAGGAGCUGGAGGGAAAUGGUUACCAGAAUGGUACCAGAGCAGGUGCACUGUGAUUGCGUUUGUUUUAAUUUCCUGGGAAGACAGUGUUCAGCCUUAGGGAGGCACUGAGAAGAAUGGACAACUCCUAUGUUUGUCAUAGGAACACAAAGAACAAAAAAAGCAGAAACAUUUUGAGACAUGGAACAAAUAAUGCUUCAUUUCAAAAAGACUUGUGUCUUGUUGAUGAUCUCUCUAUGUCUUCACUGACUAACAAAGGACGACGCAUUUUGGGUUAUUCUUCUAUUUACACCUUACUCUCUGAACGACCCAGAAGUCCUGGAGGUGACAAUUUUCCUAAUUUGGAACUUGCCUCUCCUGCACUAGAAGAGAUCAGAGGAGACAAUGUGGAUGUUUAUUGGUGUACUACUUUCACUACUUGACCUGAAGUUGGGCACAGCCUUCAACCCUCCCAAACUGGAGUUUGUUCCAACUUGAUCUCUACUACAUUUACUUCUUUAACUUGACAUCAAUGCCUGACUGUUGGGAGCUUACUUCGGAUGUGUUAGUGGUCCUGUAAUGCUCAGACUGAAGGCACUAAAACACAAAUUAUUACGUUUCCUUUGUUUGCAUCCUACAUUCAUGUGAGAAAGGAGUUGAAAAAAAUUGCGUGAAUUUUGGCAUUUCCCCCUUCCCUCACAGUAGCACCAGCCCUUGAAUUCUCCUCACCCCUUCACAAUCCCAAGAUGGAAAUUUCGAUGCUGAAGUACCCAAAAACCUUCUCUCAUGCUUCAACCAGCAACAUCAUUAAGCCUUUUUCAGGAAUGGUCAAUCCCUUACGUCUUUCACACCCUGCUGUCAUGCGCCAACAUGAUUGACGCUCCUGGGAAUGAUCUGCCCACUCCUCCUAAAUGCGGUCUUGGGCUGUCGGUGCUGCAGACAUGCAGACAGGAGGAACACAGACCCUUGAAGAGUGUCAGAUGGCCAUCUGCCAGCCAAGGCACAAUAUGGUGGCUGCUGCCAAGCCAGCUGGGUCCUCGCUCUUCCAGCUGGUACAAAAGUUGCCAGGCAGCCUCCACUCCAAGAAUUUUAAAGCAUUUGGGGCUAUAAUCUAUGCCAUGUGUUUCUCUGUUUUUACUACAUAGUAGAAAAUAAUUUAUUCAGAUAUGCUAAAUUAUACUUUUAAUGUUUCACAAACAGUUCAUUGUGAAAUUCAGUCUUGGCAUUAACUAGAAAAUGCGGUACUUUGCUCCUUGUGUAUAUUAUUAUAAUGGUUCUUUUUUGUUUAAUCUAAAUAUUGUAGCUCAUUUAUCUUCUUGGAUGUCACAACCAGCUCUAGACUGCAUAGUUCUGCUGCUGCCUACCAGUUAAAUGAUUAUUACUUACACAUUUUAUAAAUAAUUAGUCAAUAACAAAUUUUUUCUGUAUGGCAUCUACACCAUUUUGUCCAAUAGAAUCCCUUAUAUUCUUUCAUUUUUAGUGCAUAUUGAGAACCUCUAGCAUGUUGAUAAUUGUUUUUCUAAACAAGAAGGGCUGAAAAAAGGUUAUUCUGAGUAAUUCAGUCUCAGUCACUUUUUGAAAGAAUGGAAAAUGGCCCCUUUUUCAUAAAUGAGACAUUGUCAGCAAAUUAAAAAUGGGAAUAGAGCCCAGGACAUUUAGUUUGAGAUUCAGAGAUCUCUACUGCUUGAGCUCAAAGAGAAUGUUCUGACGUUAGCACUGGUAUGGAGCUCCUAAGUUUUCCUUAGUCCAUAAUAAGAUACAAGAUGAUAAAUACAUAUGUCAAUACAUGCCUUUAUUUCUAAGCCUUUCCUUGAAGAAAAAAAACUGCUUCAAUUUGCAGAGAUUCAAAAGGUAUUGGCAUCACUUUAAUUUCCCUCUGCAUCUUUAAGUUACACUUUAUUCUCCAUGGCUUUUUUGUGCAAGUUCAGAAAACAAAAGUGAGCAAGUGCAGUUUUGUUUUCUGUUGUGGACUGUUUUCCAGGAAUUCUUUUCCUCCAUUAGAUCUACCAUGUGAGUACCUAAGAAUCUGUAUUUCUUCUUUCUGAAAAAAAAAAAAAAAAAAAAAAAAAAAAAAAAAAAAAAAAAAAAAAAAAAAAAAAAACCUUUAACUUUCUUGUCCUUUUCUACCGUAUAGGUCACAUUCUCCAAUCAUUCCACAACAGAAAUAAGUCUCACGAAUGUCCACACAGUCACAAAUAAAUAACUUCAGAAAAGCUAUGUAAUCUAGACCUCAGUGGAAUAUGAUUUCCAAACUCCUUUUAAAACAAGAAAAACAAAUUCUGAUUUUAUCUUUUCUGUCAUUUUAUUUUAAUUGCUAUUUAUCACAUUCUUUAUACUGGCUUCCAAAUGCCUCACCCUUUUUUUAUCAGGGGGCAAUUCCUAGAGACGUGUGAAAUGUUUCAUUUGAACUACAAAAGCCUGGAAACAGACUUGCUGUGAAUUCAUCCUGCAUUUGCAAAUUGUCAGCGAAUUGUUAAACUCUUGUGUCUGCUGUCACUGAGCAGGUGUUGCUGGCUCUUAUCCUUGGGGACUUCCACAGCUGUUGUUCAGGGGCAUUUCCAGGGAAAAUGAGGUUCACCACUUAAGAGGCCACUCACAGUCUUUUGUGGUUUUCGGACACCUGUGCCUUGUGCUGGAAGAGGAAUCUCAUGCAAAUCUUUGUGAUUCACCAUGAAACUUAAAUGUGUCACCUUUCCUUGUAGCUUAAACAGUACCCAGAGAUACGUUAAUCCCCAGCCUCCUGGGAUCUGUGUAUACAAGUAUCUGAGGCCUCAUAAUUGCAAAGUUACUUCAAAACAAAAGUAAUUUUGGAACCACUAAAGGUGAGGGUCCAUAACAAAGUGUGACCUGAAGAUCCAAGCAUACAUUCUCCUCUGCAGGUACAGGGAUAUCAGCCCAGCAGAUAUCCCAGACUGGGGGCAAUAGCAUCUGAAACCACCACAGCAGGACUUGGCCACCAACACUUCAGAAGAGACCUUGCCCCUGCAAUUAAGCUGGGUAGGUGUACAGAAGUGGAGGGCAACAGGACAAACUAAUUGUGUCUCUUGAUAAUGUGGGAAAAUAUGUAGAAGAAUACUUGAUUUCUUUUAAAGGCUCGUGAGCCAUCAGACCUGAUCACAGUAGUGGUCACCAUCCGAUAGCAAUAAGCUGAGGCAGCAGCUAUGCUGCUGCCUGCAUUAUUCAGGUGAUCUGCCUGGACAGCCUCAGCAAUUCUUGGAAUUUAAUACUUAUUAAUCACUUGAAAUAAUCAAAAUGCUCUAAUAUUAUAACACAGUAAAAUAAAAUCAUAUUAUCAUUGUAAUUUUUACCAUAGUCUGUGCUUAAAACUGCUAAGCCAUCUGUUCAGACAUCUGAGAGAUUUGACAAAUGAGCUCCAGCAAAUCUUGCUGAGGCAGUUGAAAGGGAUACCUCAGUCAGGGUAGGAGUCAACCACAGAUCAAAAUGUCUGGAUUUCUAAAUCAAAGCAUCCAAGCUCCCAUUGUCAUCAGCAGAGAAGAAAGGCUUAAUUCAGUUGCUUAGACACAAGCACCAGAUGCCAUUUGAGAAGUCCUAAGGGUACCUACCUCACCUCUGGCUGCCUUCCUGAAGAGCACGAGUAUCUCAGGCUCUGGGUGGUACCUGUUGGUCUUUGAGCUCUAUCUGUGACCUUGUGGUUGUUUCCAGUAUCCUGGGCGUCUCAAAUCCUGAUACCCAUAUGUGAACAUCUGAAUAAAGUCCAGCCAACACACUAGAGAGCCCGGAGAGUAGUUUGGAAGAAUUAAGCAGAUUUACUGACAAAGCUAUGACACGAGAAGGAGAUGGGACACACGGCGACAGCAACUCCUCUGACCAGAGCAAGUGUCAUCAGGGAGCCACAUGUCCUUUCUCCACCUCUCCCCCUAGUAAUCCUAAAGUGUUAUAUUUGAGUUUAAUGCUUCUUAAGUUAGUUUAGCUAGAGCACAAGAAGCCACAGCUCUGAAGAGACACUAUAAAUCGUGAAUGGAUUAGUGGCAUCCCCUCUGGAGCUGUAGCUUAUAUCUCCCAAUGGGCUAGUUAACUUGUGUGCAAGAAUAUUACCACAUUGAAUGGAAGAGCUUUGUUUGUGGAUGGAAUUCAAAUUAAGAGAAAUACAUAGGUUAUUUUUGCAGCAAAGACAAGUCCUUAAUAUAUAAAAGAUGAUUUCAUUUUAAUUUAGAUUAAAAAAUGCUUCAAUGAAAGAAGUUAGUUCUCUUUUUAGGUAAAAUUCACAUAAGCUUUUAAUUGCCACUCUCUAAACAUCAAUAGUUUAGUUAUUGUUUACUAUUCACUUACUCUUCUCAAUACCAGCUUCAUAGCUGGUAAAUUCAAGCAGCUGUUUCUGUUUGAGAAACAUGCCACUGAAAAUGACUACAGAUCAGAGAAUUUCUUUAGAAUGUGCAUUUGCUUUAAAAGGAUUUACAUUGUGCUUUUACACUGAGCUACAUUUGGAUUCUUGUUCUGGAAGUGUUUUAUUUCAGAUUUUGUGCUGAUGCACUAUGGAUACUCAAGGAUUUUUUAAACAUGCAGAUCAGAAUUCAGUUAUCCCUCAUAUGUCUGCAGACUUUCUGUCUUUGAGAGUAAAGAAUGUCCACAGGUGUAAGGAAACACAGGUUCUAAACACAGCAAUUCAUGUACUUUACAGUGAAAUCACAGUCCUGAUCUGACAUACAUGCGGGAAACUGCAUCCUAACAGUCCAGUCAUUUUGAUUAAGACCUGAUCUCGCAAAACUUAUGGACACUUUUUUCCUAAGUCCAUUUCCCAUAACUACUUCAAAACUUUAUUUCAGAAAUACCUGUGAGUUUCUCUUACAUCAAGGCUGCAGUGAUAAAGUGACCAUGCUGUGGUUUUUAUUAAAUGCUAAGAUGUGACAUUUUAUUUAUAGCCUUCUGACCCAGUAAAAGAUUCAUGCAAACACUGGGCUGCUUGAUAUAGAAAAAACUUGCUGUACAUUUGAGCUGUACCAUUAUUAAAAGCAUUUCUCUAGACAUUCCCUUUCCUUCUUGGACCAUUCUUGGCAUUUCUGGAACAUUUAUGAAUAUUUAUGAAGACAUUUACUUGUAUAUUAAAUGAAGUCUGUGAGUAAGUCAUCAAUAUAUGUGAAAAUAGUUGCCUUUGUGAAAACUUUGUUAACCUCUCCACACAGUUGCCUUUGAGGGCCUGGAAAGUUUGAGCACAGCUUGUAGAGCACAUCCUAUAGAAUGUAUAUAAUACUGCAAUCAGCACAACCGCAGUGCAGCAGAUUGAGUAACCAUCUGAAGAAACUCAAGCAGUACUGUGCUUUAGUCUACUCCAGAAAGCUGUUUUGUAAGAGCUUUGCAGAUGUCUUCUCAGUUACCAGACCUGUGCUAAAUCAGCCUCUGAACAGACUUAUACCAGUUAGUAGAUGACUCUUCUUUUGAUUAAGUAAUAGAUCUUAAUAAAUUCAAGGCUACAUGGAGAAAAUACACUGAUUUAUUGGUCCAAUUCAGCUUACCCUGAAAGCAAAAGGAGUUUCACAUUUGACUUCAAAGGAAGCAAAGCUGGACCUUAAAACUAUAAACAGUAUAAUAAACACUAGUAAAACAUAAUACUUACUAAAGCAGCAUGAAUCCCACUUCCAAAAAGUACACUUUUACUUGCUUUUGUACCAUUUGUGCAACUCAAUACUAAUGAAAAUGAAGGGGCUGGUCACCUGAGUACUGUGAGAGCCAAAUAAUCUAUCAGAAAUAAUACUAUGAAACAUAUUUGCAUUAAGUGCUGAUAGAAUUAACCUGAAUUCCAAAUAAAUCAAUAAAACUGUCAUAUCUCUGCUCAGUUGCAAACUGAGGAAAAGCAGAAUUCACCACGUUUCUCAAUAAAAUGCAAGAAUGCAUAUUCAGUUCUAAUAUUGACAUACCCUACAAAGCCAUACAUACAUUUACAGAUUGUGUAAAAUUGACAUUAAUAUCAAUAGAAGUGGAAAUAGGCCAAGAUUUCUUUGUUGCACUGAAUAUUUCACAAAGUGCCUAUUAACAAUAGCUCACUUAGCUUUUCUAAGUGGUUUCACAACAUGACCAUUUUUUCUUUUUCUUGACUUAGUAUUCUUCGUUGUUUAUGAUUGGUGCAGCAUAGAUCAGUGGGAGUCUAUCAUAGCAAAGACUAAAUGAAGCCUAAGUUGAAGGUGUCCUGAUGUAGCUCUGUAGGAGCCAAAUCACAUUCCUCUUUUUAAAACCACUGGAGACAGAUCUCACAUCUUCACAAUGCACUUUCCCAGUGAAGUCUGGUGAAUCAACACCAUUCUUUUGCUGUUUACAAGGAAAUUGAGCAAAGGAAAAUGAUUUUCAAUGUCAGCCUCCAGCCAGCUGUACUGUCAGACAGUGAAGCAUGAUGCUAAGUGCAGAACAGCAGCUUGUCUGAUAGACGAUUUAUCCAGAUGUCACACAUCCUUAGCCCUGGGAGAGAGCUAAGUCAUCUUGGAGGUAAUCUAGGAGGAAGCUGAAGAUAAGGAAAUGUUGAAAGUAGAGGUGAGUAAUGUAUUCAUUAGUGGCAACAGUACAAAGAAGACAAUCUGAUUAGAAACAACUGAUGAGAUACCUGAGAAGCAAGAGGUGAGAAAUAAAGAGAGGGUUCCAUGAGAAACACAAAAGAAAUUGCUGAGGCAGACCAAAAUGGGCUCUUUUCUGCCAGAUCCCACAUGUAACGCUGAGAAAAAGAAGUUAAAGGAUAAGAAAAUUUUGAAAUCAGGGAUAUGGGGUUGAAUUACAUUUUCCUUUGGUCAGCAUUCACUUACCCAUUAGGAGAGCAGAUCAGCUGAAGGAGAAAUGCACACCACCUAGAUCAUGUGCCUGAGGCUUUUACUGUCUGAGCACUUAAAUCCAGAGGACAAAUACCAGCAAAAAGUACAGAUUCAUCAAAAACUAAAUACAAGUGCUGCCAAGGAGAUGGCCAAGAUCAGAGAGGUGGUCAUAGCUGUAGGGGGGUCAAUAGAUGAAUCUGAGAGAAAAGGGAUGAUGGUGUGGAUCAGUGGGAAGCAGCCAGAGGAAAGUUGAGAGGGGUAUGUGUGAAGGAGUAAGUGUAGAGAGGCAAGGGAGAGAAGCAUUGCUGGAGGCAGUAUGCAGCAGCCAAAGGGAUCAGGCCAGCUUCAGAUCCAUAAAGGAAUACUGUUCUGUAAAGAAAAGGACAAGAGCAAGAAUUGGAGCGUCAUGAUACAGGAGACUGGAAAGGAGAUCAAGGAAAGUAAGUGAACAGCAGGGAACUGGAAUAAUCAGUGAGUGUAGGGGAUGAGAUAAAGGUAAUAAAGCACCUAGAAAUAACAAACUUGACACACUGGUACAGUGGAAAGGAAGUAGUGAGGCCAGAAGGAUGAUAGAAAGAAGACCAAAGGCAGAUGAGAACCACUCUAUGGUAAAUGAAGGAAAGAAGAUGGUUCAGAGAGCAGAUACGAGAGCUAAAUGCUCUUACUGCAGAGUUUGAUCUUGGAGACAUGUAUGAGGACAGCAACAGUUACUAGCUGGAUUUUGAAGACUGGAAGCUGUUACAUGUACACAAAGGAGGGAAAGUAAAUGAGAUGUUGAUAAUCAGGGUAAAUUAAAUUCCUCAGAGAAGGAUUAAAAAAGAUGUGGAGAGUUGUAGUUAAGAAAAAAAAAUAAUAUGUGAGCCAAAGCAAACUACAGGUCAGGAAUAAA